UACGUAGGGGGCAAGCGUUGUCCGGAUUUAUUGGGCGUAAAGAGCGUGUAGGCGGCCAGACAGGUCUGUUGUGAAAACUCGAGGCUCAACCUCGAGAUGUCGAUGGAAACCGUCUGGCUAGAGUCCGGGAGAGGAGUGUGGAAUUCCUGGUGUAGCGGUGAAAUGCGCAGAUAUCAGGAAGAACACCUAUGGCGAAGGCAGCACUCUGGGACGGUACUGACGCUGAGACGCGAAAGCGUGGGGAGCGAACAGG
RNAcentral lists this ribosomal RNA (253 nucleotides) under uncultured bacterium. RNAcentral describes it as "partial 16S ribosomal RNA". It matches the Rfam family "Bacterial small subunit ribosomal RNA", at positions 524 to 776 of the family's 1533-position model. The record is from RNAcentral.